Molecule: ribosomal RNA, 380 nt
Filed under: uncultured bacterium
Lineage: Bacteria
Description: bacterial SSU rRNA
Rfam family: Bacterial small subunit ribosomal RNA
Source: RNAcentral
UAAUACGUAGGGCGCAAGCGUUGUCCGGAAUUAUUGGGCGUAAAGAGCUCGUAGGCGGCUUGUCGCGUCGGUUGUGAAAGCCCGGGGCUUAACUCCGGGUCUGCAGUCGAUACGGGCAGGCUAGAGUUCGGUAGGGGAGAUCGGAAUUCCUGGUGUAGCGGUGAAAUGCGCAGAUAUCAGGAGGAACACCGGUGGCGAAGGCGGAUCUCUGGGCCGAUACUGACGCUGAGGAGCGAAAGCGUGGGGAGCGAACAGGAUUAGAUACCCUGGUAGUCCACGCCGUAAACGGUGGGCACUAGGUGUGGGCAGCAUUCCACGUUGUCCGUGCCGUAGCUAACGCAUUAAGUGCCCCGCCUGGGGAGUACGGCCGCAAGGCUAAA